UUGAGGUAGAGCUUUCAAAUCUGAUCUGGAUUCACCAAUGCUUGUUAAUUGAUGCAAUACCUUCUGGACCCUCAAUUCUUGUAGCUUUUCUUCAUAAUUUCUUGGAUGAUCCUUCCACGCAAAGAAAGCUUCAUCAUCCCCCCAAGAGUCUUCUCUGCCUCCGGCAAUAUCUGAAUCUAAAAACCACUUUCUGAUCAAGUCCAUUGCAGAUUUAUAUGACAGAUGGUCACCAGCUGCGUCUUCCAGAGUCUUGAUCAGUGAAUCCUCAGCAAUUCUCCUACGCAACCUUUUGUAGAAGUAACCACGGGAUUUGCCCCAGUCCACAACUUCUCUGAUUACCCCCUUUGCAGCCAUCCUUAGGGAAGAA
RNAcentral lists this unclassified non-coding RNA (367 nucleotides) under Hevea brasiliensis (rubber tree). Lineage: Eukaryota; Viridiplantae; Streptophyta; Magnoliopsida; Malpighiales; Euphorbiaceae. The record is from RNAcentral.